This is a non-coding RNA of Podarcis lilfordi (Lilford's wall lizard), 157 nucleotides long. NCBI's taxonomy places the organism in Eukaryota, Metazoa, Chordata, Lepidosauria, Squamata, Lacertidae. The record is from the annotation of a GenBank genome assembly.
GCUGGCGGGGGGAGAAGCAAGCUUGCUUCUCCCCCAUCGCCAGCCCCACAAGCUCGGGGGGUAGCGGGGAGGCGGAGCGCCGCCAUCCCGCUAUUCCCGGACCUGAUCUGGAGGCUGGCGGGGGGGAAGAAGCAAGCUUGCUCCCCCCCCCGCCAGC